AGCAGCCGCGGUAAUUCCAGCUCCAAUAGCGUAUAUUAAAGUUGUUGCAGUUAAAAAGCUCGUAGUUGAAUUUCGGGGUUAGUAGGUUGGUCAUGCCUCUGGUAUGUACUGGUCUCACUGAUUCCUCCUUCCUGAUGAGCCGUAAUGCCAUUAAUUUGGUGUUGCGGGGAAUUUGGACUGUUACUUUGAAAAAAUUAGAGUGUUUAAAGCAAGCUAACGCUUGAAUACAUUAGCAUGGAAUAAUGAAAUAGGACGUUCGAUCCUAUUUUGUUGGUUUCUAGGAUUGACGUAAUGAUUAAUAGGGAUAGUUGGGGGCAUUAGUAUUCAAUUGUCAGAGGUGAAAUUCUUGGAUUUAUUGAAGACUAACUACUGCGAAAGCAUUUGCCAAGGAUGUUUUCAUUAAUCAAGAACGAAAGUUAGGGGAUCGAAGACGAUCAGAUACCGUCGUAGUCUUAACCAUAAACUAUGCCGACUAGGGAUCGGAUGAUGCUAAUUUUUAAUGA
Molecule: ribosomal RNA, 503 nt
Filed under: uncultured Glomus
Lineage: Eukaryota; Fungi; Glomeromycota; Glomeromycetes; Glomerales; Glomeraceae
Description: SSU rRNA
Rfam family: Eukaryotic small subunit ribosomal RNA
Source: RNAcentral